RNAcentral lists this ribosomal RNA (497 nucleotides) under uncultured bacterium. Its description in RNAcentral is "partial 16S ribosomal RNA". It matches the Rfam family "Bacterial small subunit ribosomal RNA", at positions 28 to 507 of the family's 1533-position model. The record is from RNAcentral.
GAUGAACGCUGGCGGCGUGCCUAAUACAUGCAAGUCGAGCGAACAGACGAGGAGCUUGCUCCUCUGACGUUAGCGGCGGACGGGUGAGUAACACGUGGAUAACCUACCUAUAAGACUGGGAUAACUUCGGGAAACCGGAGCUAAUACCGGAUAACAUGUUGAACCGCAUGGUUCAACAGUGAAAGACGGUCUUGCUGUCACUUAUAGAUGGAUCCGCGCCGCAUUAGCUAGUUGGUAAGGUAACGGCUUACCAAGGCAACGAUGCGUAGCCGACCUGAGAGGGUGAUCGGCCACACUGGAACUGAGACACGGUCCAGACUCCUACGGGAGGUAGCAGUAGGGAAUCUUCCGCAAUGGGCGAAAUCCUGACGGAGCAACGCCGCGUGAGUGAAGAAGGUCUUCGGAUCGUAAAACUCUGUUAUUAGGGAAGAACAAAUGUGUAAGUAACUAUGCACGUCUUGACGGUACCUAAUCAGAAAGCCACGGCUAACUACGUG